Molecule: ribosomal RNA, 2934 nt
Filed under: Bacillus velezensis
Lineage: Bacteria; Bacillati; Bacillota; Bacilli; Caryophanales; Bacillaceae
Description: bacterial LSU rRNA
Rfam family: Bacterial large subunit ribosomal RNA
Source: RNAcentral
CGGUUAAGUUAGAAAGGGCGCACGGUGGAUGCCUUGGCACUAGGAGCCGAUGAAGGACGGGACGAACACCGAUAUGCUUCGGGGAGCUGUAAGCAAGCUUUGAUCCGGAGAUUUCCGAAUGGGGAAACCCACCACUCGUAAUGGAGUGGUAUCUAUAUCUGAAUACAUAGGAUAUGAGAAGGCAGACCCGGGGAACUGAAACAUCUAAGUACCCGGAGGAAGAGAAAGCAAAUGCGAUUCCCUGAGUAGCGGCGAGCGAAACGGGACCAGCCCAAACCAAGAGGCUUGCCUCUUGGGGUUGUAGGACACUCUGUACGGAGUUACAAAGGAACGAGGUAGAUGAAGAGGUCUGGAAAGGCCCGCCAUAGAAGGUAACAGCCCUGUAGUCAAAACUUCGUUCUCUCCUGAGUGGAUCCUGAGUACGGCGGAACACGUGAAAUUCCGUCGGAAUCCGGGAGGACCAUCUCCCAAGGCUAAAUACUCCCUAGUGACCGAUAGUGAACCAGUACCGUGAGGGAAAGGUGAAAAGCACCCCGGAAGGGGAGUGAAAGAGAUCCUGAAACCGUGUGCCUACAAGUAGUCAGAGCCCGUUAACGGGUGAUGGCGUGCCUUUUGUAGAAUGAACCGGCGAGUUACGAUCCCGUGCAAGGUUAAGCAGAAGAUGCGGAGCCGCAGCGAAAGCGAGUCUGAAUAGGGCGAAUUGAGUACGUGGUCGUAGACCCGAAACCAGGUGAUCUACCCAUGUCCAGGGUGAAGUUCAGGUAACACUGAAUGGAGGCCCGAACCCACGCACGUUGAAAAGUGCGGGGAUGAGGUGUGGGUAGGGGUGAAAUGCCAAUCGAACCUGGAGAUAGCUGGUUCUCUCCGAAAUAGCUUUAGGGCUAGCCUCAAGGUAAGAGUCUCGGAGGUAGAGCACUGAUUGGACUAGGGGCCCCUACCGGGUUACCGAAUUCAGUCAAACUCCGAAUGCCGAUGACUUAUCCUUGGGAGUCAGACUGCGAGUGAUAAGAUCCGUAGUCGAAAGGGAAACAGCCCAGACCGCCAGCUAAGGUCCCAAAGUAUACGUUAAGUGGAAAAGGAUGUGGAGUUGCUUAGACAACCAGGAUGUUGGCUUAGAAGCAGCCACCAUUUAAAGAGUGCGUAAUAGCUCACUGGUCGAGUGACUCUGCGCCGAAAAUGUACCGGGGCUAAACGUAUCACCGAAGCUGCGGACUGUUCUUCGAACAGUGGUAGGAGAGCGUUCUAAGGGCUGUGAAGCAAGACCGGAAGGACUUGUGGAGCGCUUAGAAGUGAGAAUGCCGGUAUGAGUAGCGAAAGAGGGGUGAGAAUCCCCUCCACCGAAUGCCUAAGGUUUCCUGAGGAAGGCUCGUCCGCUCAGGGUUAGUCGGGACCUAAGCCGAGGCCGAAAGGCGUAGGCGAUGGAUAACAGGUUGAUAUUCCUGUACCACCUCCUCACCAUUUGAGCAAUGGGGGGACGCAGGAGGAUAGGGUAAGCGCGGUAUUGGAUAUCCGCGUCCAAGCAGUUAGGCUGGGAAAUAGGCAAAUCCGUUUCCCGUGAAGGCUGAGCUGUGAUGGCGAGCGAAUUAUAGUAGCGAAGUUCCUGAUUCCACACUGCCAAGAAAAGCCUCUAGCGAGGUGAGAGGUGCCCGUACCGCAAACCGACACAGGUAGGCGAGGAGAGAAUCCUAAGGUGAUCGAGAGAACUCUCGUUAAGGAACUCGGCAAAAUGACCCCGUAACUUCGGGAGAAGGGGUGCUCUGUUAGGGUGCAAGCCCGAGAGAGCCGCAGUGAAUAGGCCCAGGCGACUGUUUAGCAAAAACACAGGUCUCUGCGAAGCCGUAAGGCGAAGUAUAGGGGCUGACGCCUGCCCGGUGCUGGAAGGUUAAGAGGAGUGCUUAGCGUAAGCGAAGGUGCGAAUUGAAGCCCCAGUAAACGGCGGCCGUAACUAUAACGGUCCUAAGGUAGCGAAAUUCCUUGUCGGGUAAGUUCCGACCCGCACGAAAGGCGCAACGAUCUGGGCACUGUCUCAACGAGAGACUCGGUGAAAUUAUAGUACCUGUGAAGAUGCAGGUUACCCGCGACAGGACGGAAAGACCCCGUGGAGCUUUACUGCAGCCUGAUAUUGAAUGUUGGUACAGCUUGUACAGGAUAGGUAGGAGCCUUGGAAACCGGAGCGCCAGCUUCGGUGGAGGCAUCGGUGGGAUACUACCCUGGCUGUAUUGACCUUCUAACCCGCCGCCCUUAUCGGGCGGGGAGACAGUGUCAGGUGGGCAGUUUGACUGGGGCGGUCGCCUCCUAAAAGGUAACGGAGGCGCCCAAAGGUUCCCUCAGAAUGGUUGGAAAUCAUUCGCAGAGUGUAAAGGCACAAGGGAGCUUGACUGCGAGACCUACAAGUCGAGCAGGGACGAAAGUCGGGCUUAGUGAUCCGGUGGUUCCGCAUGGAAGGGCCAUCGCUCAACGGAUAAAAGCUACCCCGGGGAUAACAGGCUUAUCUCCCCCAAGAGUCCACAUCGACGGGGAGGUUUGGCACCUCGAUGUCGGCUCAUCGCAUCCUGGGGCUGUAGUCGGUCCCAAGGGUUGGGCUGUUCGCCCAUUAAAGCGGUACGCGAGCUGGGUUCAGAACGUCGUGAGACAGUUCGGUCCCUAUCCGUCGCGGGCGCAGGAAAUUUGAGAGGAGCUGUCCUUAGUACGAGAGGACCGGGAUGGACGCACCGCUGGUGUACCAGUUGUUCUGCCAAGGGCAUCGCUGGGUAGCUAUGUGCGGACGGGAUAAGUGCUGAAAGCAUCUAAGCAUGAAGCCCCCCUCAAGAUGAGAUUUCCCAUUCCGCAAGGAAGUAAGAUCCCUGAAAGAUGAUCAGGUUGAUAGGUCUGAGGUGGAAGUGUGGCGACACAUGGAGCUGACAGAUACUAAUCGAUCGAGGACUUAACCAAUUU